Molecule: ribosomal RNA, 253 nt
Filed under: uncultured bacterium
Lineage: Bacteria
Description: partial 16S ribosomal RNA
Rfam family: Bacterial small subunit ribosomal RNA
Source: RNAcentral
UACAGAGGGGGCAAGCGUUAUUCGGAAUUAUUGGGCGUAAAGGGCGCGUAGGCGGCUUUGCAAGUGACGGGUGAAAGCCCUCGGCUUAACCGAGGAACUGCCUGUCAGACUGUAAGGCUUGAGACCGGGAGAGGUGAGUGGAAUUCCCAGUGUAGCGGUGAAAUGCGUAGAUAUCUGGAGGAACACCGGUGGCGAAGGCGGCAUCCUGGACCGGUAUUGACGCUGAGGCGCGAAAGCUAGGGUAGCAAACGGG